GAUGAACGCUGGCGGCGUGCCUAAUACAUGCAAGUAGAACGCUGAAGGAAGGAGCUUGCUCUUUCCGGAUGAGUUGCGAACGGGUGAGUAACGCGUAGGUAACCUGCCUGGUAGCGGGGGAUAACUAUUGGAAACGAUAGCUAAUACCGCAUAACAGUAGAUGUUGCAUGAUAUCUACUUAAAAGGUGCAAUUGCACCACUACCAGAUGGACCUGCGUUGUAUUAGCUAGUUGGUGAGGUAACGGCUCACCAAGGCGACGAUACAUAGCCGACCUGAGAGGGUGAUCGGCCACACUGGGACUGAGACACGGCCCAGACUCCUACGGGAGGCAGCAGUAGGGAAUCCUCGGCAAUGGACGGAAGUCUGACCGAGCAACGCCGCGUGAGUGAAGAAGGUUGUCGGAUCGGAAAGCUCUGUUGUAAGAGAAGAACGAGUGUGAGAGUGGAAAGUUCACACUGUGACGGUAUCUUAUCAGAAAGGGACGGCUAACUACGUG
This 497-nucleotide ribosomal RNA is filed under the name uncultured bacterium. RNAcentral describes it as "partial 16S ribosomal RNA". It matches the Rfam family "Bacterial small subunit ribosomal RNA", at positions 28 to 507 of the family's 1533-position model. The record is from RNAcentral.